GACGAACGCUGGCGGCGUGCCUAAUACAUGCAAGUAGGACGCACAGUUUAUACCGUAGCUUGCUACACCAUAGACUGUGAGUUGCGAACGGGUGAGUAACGCGUAGGUAACCUGCCUAUUAGAGGGGGAUAACUAUUGGAAACGAUAGCUAAUACCGCAUAACAGUAUGUAACACAUGUUAGAUGCUUGAAAGAUGCAAUUGCAUCGCUAGUAGAUGGACCUGCGUUGUAUUAGCUAGUAGGUAGGGUAAUGGCCUACCUAGGCGACGAUACAUAGCCGACCUGAGAGGGUGAUCGGCCACACUGGGACUGAGACACGGCCCAGACUCCUACGGGAGGCAGCAGUAGGGAAUCUUCGGCAAUGGGGGGAACCCUGACCGAGCAACGCCGCGUGAGUGAAGAAGGUUUUCGGAUCCUAAAGCUCUGUUGUUAAGGAAGAACGAGUGUGAAAAUGGAAAGUUCAUACUGUGACGGUACUUAACCAGAAAGGGACGGCUAACUACGUGCCAGCAGCCGCGGUAAUACGUAGGUCCCGAGCGUUGUCCGGAUUUAUUGGGCGUAAAGCGAGCGCAGGCGGUUAGAAAAGUCUGAAGUGAAAGGCAGUGGCUCAACCAUUGUAGGCUUUGGAAACUGUUUAACUUGAGUGCAGAAGGGGAGAGUGGAAUUCCAUGUGUAGCGGUGAAAUGCGUAGAUAUAUGGAGGAACACCAGUGGCGAAGGCGACUCUCUGGUCUGUAACUGACGCUGAGGCUCGAAAGCGUGGGUAGCAAACAGG
RNAcentral lists this ribosomal RNA (773 nucleotides) under Streptococcus anginosus. RNAcentral describes it as "bacterial SSU rRNA". It matches the Rfam family "Bacterial small subunit ribosomal RNA", at positions 28 to 776 of the family's 1533-position model. The record is from RNAcentral. Lineage: Bacteria; Bacillati; Bacillota; Bacilli; Lactobacillales; Streptococcaceae.